ACAGCCGCAUCUCUCUUUCUCCCUCUUCCUCUCUUUCUUUCUCUGUCAAAUAGCAAAAGUUGCUGCCCGUCACCGUAUUUAGUGAGACGCCGGAGCAGUCGCGUCCCUUCGCCGGCCUCCUAUCUCCGCUCUCGCGUCUCCAGCGGUGGCAAUACCCAUCAGCCACUGCUCCAGCGUCGACUCCAUCUCUGUCGCUCAACCGGCGAAAUCAACAGCCAACUCCACCGUUGGCCACCAAAUCCGAACCAGCCGCCACAACAGCCAAAUUCGGCCGCCGUACCAUCAUUUUGGCCAGCGAAAUCAGUCUUACCGGUGGAAGCCAACCAUGGACGAUGAAUCUCCAACCAACACCGCCAUUGCUCCACCCAUUUCCAAUUAAAAAAUCAGUCCAUUACCAUCGUCACUCCGUUAAAUGUCAACGGAAGAAUCUUAAGUACAUGACGAAUUCACAUGUGAAUUCGUUUUAGGUUUGAUUUCUUUUUUCAAGUUUCGCCAAAAACCCUUUAUGUUGAUUAUUUUUGUUUUGAUUAUUUUUGUUUUACUGAUUCUGUGAUUUGAAAUUAGUGAAAUUUGAUUUUUUUAAUUUUGAUUUGACUCUUUGAUUUCCUGCUUAUUUUUAGUCUUUAAUUGACAUAUGCUAAGUCCAUUAUCGUUUGUUUGGCAAUACUAUUGUUGAAUCAUGAUCUUAGUAAUAUAAUAGUUUAAGUGUAGGUACUUGAAAACUAAAAUUUAGGAAGAGUUUGCCUGAUGAAUGUGAAUCUAGCUACAUUUUUUCGCAUUUAAACUAUCAUCUCUACCAUUUUAGGGACCUAGCUGUUAGUAUAGCUACCAGUCAUCUUCAAUAAUUUCCUUACAUCUAACUAAACUGCUGCAUUGCCUUCGACAACUCAUAGUUAAGAGUUAUUGAUGAAAAGGUGAAUACGAGAUUUUAAUCACGUACUGGCCGAUUAGUGCUGUAUCCAUUAAUUAAUCUUUUACACAGUUGAAUUUUGCUUAGCAAUUAUUUUAAAGCUGUUUGAAUCUAAAGAGUGUUGUCGGGUGUAUGAGCUAGGCUGUUCUGUUCUGAUUGUUCUAGGAGACAUCCUUAUCACAUGAAAAGCUAUGAAAUGUGAGUCAUUAGUCCUGUAUCUUCUUUUUACAUGUUAAUAUUCCUUUAACUGGAACUUGGAAGGAUAGUACUCUCCUUCUAGCAUGAUAUUGCAUAAACAAUAUCUUGAUUUGGUCAGUUCUAUACUUCUAUUAGUUGACAACAUAGGAUUUUCCAAUUUUGCUUAAGAGUGCCCUUUCCUUUGAAAUGUGGACUUGUGUUUUGAAUUUAGUUAAGUGUGGUCACUUGAGAAGUGAAUAA
This 1348-nucleotide long non-coding RNA is filed under the name Capsicum annuum. RNAcentral describes it as "long non-coding RNA (CANN_LNC001308)". The record is from RNAcentral. Lineage: Eukaryota; Viridiplantae; Streptophyta; Magnoliopsida; Solanales; Solanaceae.